GAUGAACGCUAGCGGCAGGCUUAACACAUGCAAGUCGAGGGGUAGAGGAAGCUUGCUUCCUUGAGACCGGCGCACGGUGCGUAACGCGUAUGCAAUCUACCUUAUACAGGGGGAUAGCCCAGGGAAAUUUGGAUUAAUACCCCAUAGUAUAAUUGAAUGGCAUCAUUUGAUUAUUAAAGUUCCAACGGUAUAAGAUGAGCAUGCGUCUCAUUAGCUAGUUGGUGUGGUAACGGCACACCAAGGCGACGAUGGGUAGGGGUCCUGAGAGGGAGAUCCCCCACACUGGUACUGAGACACGGACCAGACUCCUACGGGAGGCAGCAGUGAGGAAUAUUGGUCAAUGGGCGCAAGCCUGAACCAGCCAUGCCGCGUGCAGGAUGACGGUCCUAUGGAUUGUAAACUGCUUUUGUACAGGAAGAAACACUCCCUCGUGAGGGAGCUUGACGGUACUGUAAGAAUAAGGAUCGGCUAACUCCGUGCCAGCAGCCGC
This 490-nucleotide ribosomal RNA is filed under the name uncultured bacterium. RNAcentral's name for it is "bacterial SSU rRNA". It matches the Rfam family "Bacterial small subunit ribosomal RNA", at positions 28 to 518 of the family's 1533-position model. The record is from RNAcentral.